UACGGGGGGAGCAAGCGUUGUUCGGAUUUACUGGGCGUAAAGGGCGCGUAGGCGGCCACCGCAAGUCGACUGUGAAAUCUCUGGGCUUAACCCAGAACGGUCAGCCGAUACUGCGGGGCUAGAGUGCAGAAGGGGCAACUGGAAUUCUCGGUGUAGCGGUGAAAUGCGUAGAUAUCGAGAGGAACGCCUGCGGCGAAGGCGGGUUGCUGGGCUGACACUGACGCUGAGGCACGAAAGCGUGGGGAGCAAACAGG
RNAcentral lists this ribosomal RNA (254 nucleotides) under uncultured bacterium. RNAcentral's name for it is "partial 16S ribosomal RNA". It matches the Rfam family "Bacterial small subunit ribosomal RNA", at positions 524 to 776 of the family's 1533-position model. The record is from RNAcentral.